GAUGGAACGCUGGCGGCGUGCCUAACACAUGCAAGUCGAGCGAACCCUUCGGGGUGAGCGGCGGACGGGUGAGUAACGCGUGGGUAACCUGCCCUGUACACACGGAUAACAUACCGAAAGGUAUGCUAAUACGAGAUAAUAUAUUUAAUCACAUGGUUAAGAUAUCAAAGCUCCGGCGGUACAGGAUGGACCCGCGUCUGAUUAGCUAGUUGGUGAGGUAAUGGCUCACCAAGGCGACGAUCAGUAGCCGACCUGAGAGGGUGAUCGGCCACACUGGAACUGAGACACGGUCCAG
This 295-nucleotide ribosomal RNA is filed under the name uncultured bacterium. RNAcentral's name for it is "partial 16S ribosomal RNA". It matches the Rfam family "Bacterial small subunit ribosomal RNA", at positions 27 to 334 of the family's 1533-position model. The record is from RNAcentral.